Molecule: long non-coding RNA, 550 nt
Filed under: Homo sapiens (human)
Lineage: Eukaryota; Metazoa; Chordata; Mammalia; Primates; Hominidae
Description: novel transcript
Source: RNAcentral
AGAGCCAGGGGGGGAAGAGGGACUGGCUCUCAGUAAUCCCACGUAAGGUACCUGCCGUCGGAAGAUUUGAACUUUCUACUUGGACAACUAACACCCACAGUCCUCCAGCUGCGUUCGGACCCGUCUGAUCGUAAAUCCCAUGUAAGGUACCUGCCGUCGGAAGAUUUGAACGUUCUACUUGGACACCUAAAACCCACAGUCCUCCAGACAGAAAGACAACAGGUACAAAGCCCUAAGGAUUAUAAAGGUAUGCUGCUUACCAUCAUCUUAGUGACCAAGGCAGCGAAGCUGUUUCUGUACCUUGGAACAGUCUUCCCUGACAAGCCAGAGAACAGUGAUAAAGCCACCAGCCUUGGGAUCAGGACUGAAAAGGCAAGAGUGAUGGAGAUUUCUCCUGCGCUAAGCCAAGAGAAGGUUUCAGCACUUCAGACAGCUCCCACCGAAGUAGCCGCGCUCCCAGCUGCUUGCAGAUGUUGAAAAGGAAAGCCUCGGUUUGUCUUGAGGUUGUCAGCAGGUGCAAGACACGUAAUAAAAUGCAAUGUGUUCCUAA